AUUGAACGCUGGCGGAAUGCUUUACACAUGCAAGUCGAGCGGCAGCACGGGGGCAACCCUGGUGGCGAGCGGCGAACGGGUGAGUAAUACAUCGGAACAUGCCCAGUCGUGGGGGAUACACUUCGAAAGAAGUGCUAAUACCGCAUACGUCCUGAGGGGGAAAGCGGGGGAUCGCAAGACCUCGCGCGAUUGGAGUGGCCGAUGUCAGAUUAGCUAGUUGGUGGGGUAAAGGCCUACCAAGGCAACGAUCUGUAGCUGGUCUGAGAGGAUGAUCAGCCACACUGGGACUGAGACACGGCCCAGACUCCUACGGGAGGCAGCAGUGGGGAAUUUUGGACAAUGGGGGCAACCCUGAUCCAGCCAUUCCGCGUGAGUGAAGAAGGCCUUCGGGUUGUAAAGCUCUUUCGGCAGGAACGAAACGGUGAGCUCUAACAUAGCUUGCUAAUGACGGUACCUGAAGAAGAAGCACCGGCUAACUACGUG
This 483-nucleotide ribosomal RNA is filed under the name uncultured bacterium. RNAcentral describes it as "partial 16S ribosomal RNA". It matches the Rfam family "Bacterial small subunit ribosomal RNA", at positions 30 to 507 of the family's 1533-position model. The record is from RNAcentral.